CUCAGGCCAUGAUCUCAGAGCUCGUGAGUUUGAGCCCCGCGUCGGGCCCUGUGCUGACAGCUCAGAGCCUGGAGCCCGCUUCCGAUUCUGUGUCUCCCUCUCUCUCUGCCCCUCCCCCACUCUCUCUCUCUCUCUCUCUUAAAAAUAAACAUUAAAAAAAAAGGAAAAAAAGAAAAAGAAAAGGAAAAAGGUUCAGAGAGGUUAAGGAUGUGCUUAAGGUCACACAGCAAAUUCCAAACUUAUUUAUGGAAGCGCAGCCUGCUCUGGGUGGGGGAAGGGAGGCGACGAACUGGUUAAACGUUAGCACAAGAGGAGAAAACACAGAGGCAAACGAAAAGAGCCAUUCCACAGAGAGUGGAAUUAGGCUCUGCACAGGGACUUUUGCUCCAACUCGAGGGACUAAGGCUCUCUCUCUCUUCUGGGGCUAGUCAACAGAGGACAGAGGAGCCUGGAGUGACCAGAGGCCACCAGGGGAAGGGCACCCACGAGAGAGAAGGCAGCACGAAGGUGAGUGGUGCCACAGGUCGAGGAGAAAGCUUCUUGGGAAUGUGGGUUGAGGUCCUGGAUCCGUCUGGGCCUGGAACUGGAUCCACCCAUGAAGUGUUCAGUUACUGGAGUUACUAACACCCUCCCUCACUUGGCUCAGCUCCAGCUGGACUUCUGUCGUUUGCAAAUGAAAGGGCCCUGACUCAUCGAGACAGGAUGCUGUGGCGCUUCGACCUUCAACGGGCCCACUGUCAGCCACUUACGUGUGUCGUGCCCUGCCAUGCACUCCACGUACGUUUGGUCCUUACUGUGACCCCGAGCUGCGAGCUCCCCACUCAUCUCUGUCACUCCGGGGCCUGGAGCUUGGCGUGCGGUCGGCGCCUGGGAAGUGUUGAGUGAAGCAAGUAAGAGACAGCUCGAGCCGAGCAUGUCAGCAUCCCAACCCCCCCCCCCCCCGCCCCCGUGAUGAGCUCCCCACGGUUCUUGCAGUCCCAGCAAAGGAUACCUGUCCGGCCCCCGGGGAAGCACUGUCUAAAGGAGAGAUUGCAAACUGGCGGCCCACCGCAGUGUUUAAUUUUUUUUUUUUUUUUAUUGUGGUAAACACACACACACACACACACACACACACACACACAGACACGACACAAAAUUCACCAUCCAAUCAUUUCUCAGGGUACAGUCGAAUAGCGUGAAGUGUAUUCAUUCCCAUCGCUGGGCAACAGAUCUCCAGAACGUUUUCUUCUUGCAAAACUCCAGCUCUGUACCCAUUAAACGGCACCUCCCCGGGCCCCCCUCCCCCCAGCCCCUGGCAAACACCAUUCUACUUUCUGUUUUUAUGCAUUUGAAUACUUGACGUGCCUCGUAUCAUGGGAAUCAUAUGCUAUUUGUCUUUUUGUGACAGAAAGCUUAGCGUGUCCCCAAGGCUCAUCCGUGUGGUGGCACGAGACAUGAUUUCCUAACUUGUUAAGGCUGCAUAAUAUCCCGUUGAAUAUAUAUAUAUAUAUACACACCACGUUUUCUUCA
Molecule: long non-coding RNA, 1509 nt
Filed under: Felis catus (domestic cat)
Lineage: Eukaryota; Metazoa; Chordata; Mammalia; Carnivora; Felidae
Description: lncRNA (ENSFCAG00000048083.1)
Source: RNAcentral